This 165-nucleotide unclassified non-coding RNA is filed under the name uncultured Volutella. RNAcentral describes it as "sequence contains ITS1". The record is from RNAcentral. Lineage: Eukaryota; Fungi; Ascomycota; Sordariomycetes; Hypocreales; Nectriaceae.
CCGAGUUUUCAACUCCCAAACCCCUGUGAACAUACCUAACGUUGCCUCGGCGGGAAAGCCCCGGGCGCUGGCUUCGGCCUCGCACCGGUAUCAGGCGCUCGCCGGAGGACCCAACAAACUCUUGUAUUCUAAAGAAUCUUCUGAGUAUCAUAAGUUAAUAAAUUA